RNAcentral lists this long non-coding RNA (202 nucleotides) under Zostera marina. RNAcentral's name for it is "long non-coding RNA (ZMAR_LNC003158)". The record is from RNAcentral. Lineage: Eukaryota; Viridiplantae; Streptophyta; Magnoliopsida; Alismatales; Zosteraceae.
ACUGAAUUAGUGAAAUUUCAUGGAUCAUGGAAAAUCAAUACAUUUUCUAAACUAUAACAUGGGAUUUUCUAUCUCGAACCUCAAUCCGGUCAACAAGUUUUUAAUCUACUCGGGUGGGUUGUAGCAAUAGUUCGGUAUUCGGAUUGGAUGAUUCAACCAAGCAACCUCAUCUUGUUUUCGAGAAUUCCAAGCUACAAGUGUU